GACGAACGCUGGCGGCGUGCUUAACACAUGCAAGUCGAACGGAAAGGCCCUGCUUUUGUGGGGGGCUCGAGUGGCGAAAGGGUGAGUAACAUGUGAGUAACCUGCCCUUGACUUUGGGAUAACUUCAGGAAACUGGGGCUAAUACCGGAUAGGAGCUCCGGCUGCAUGGUGGGGGUUGGAAAGUUUCGGCGGUUGGGGAUGGACUCGCGGCUUAUCAGCUUGUUGGUGGGGUAGUGGCUUACCAAGGCUUUGACGGGUAGCCGGCCUGAGAGGGUGACCGGCCACAUUGGGACUGAGAUACGGCCCAGACUCCUACGGGAGGCAGCAGUGGGGAAUAUUGCACAAUGGGCGGAAGCCUGAUGCAGCAACGCCGCGUGCGGGAUGACGGCCUUCGGGUUGUAAACCGCUUUCGCCUGUGACGAAGCGUGAGUGACGGUAAUGGGUAAAGAAGCACCGGCUAACUACGUG
RNAcentral lists this ribosomal RNA (468 nucleotides) under uncultured bacterium. RNAcentral's name for it is "partial 16S ribosomal RNA". It matches the Rfam family "Bacterial small subunit ribosomal RNA", at positions 28 to 507 of the family's 1533-position model. The record is from RNAcentral.